Molecule: ribosomal RNA, 253 nt
Filed under: uncultured bacterium
Lineage: Bacteria
Description: partial 16S ribosomal RNA
Rfam family: Bacterial small subunit ribosomal RNA
Source: RNAcentral
UACGUAGGGUGCAAGCGUUAAUCGGAAUUACUGGGCGUAAAGCGUGCGCAGGCGGCCAUGCAAGACAGAUGUGAAAUCCCCGGGCUCAACCUGGGAACUGCAUUUGUGACUGCAUGGCUAGAGUACGGCAGAGGGGGAUGGAAUUCCGCGUGUAGCAGUGAAAUGCGUAGAUAUGCGGAGGAACACCGAUGGCGAAGGCAAUCCCCUGGGCCUGUACUGACGCUCAUGCACGAAAGCGUGGGGAGCAAACAGG